This 2198-nucleotide ribosomal RNA is filed under the name Agrobacterium tumefaciens. RNAcentral's name for it is "partial 23S ribosomal RNA". It matches the Rfam family "Bacterial large subunit ribosomal RNA", at positions 1 to 2316 of the family's 2925-position model. Lineage: Bacteria; Pseudomonadati; Pseudomonadota; Alphaproteobacteria; Hyphomicrobiales; Rhizobiaceae. The record is from RNAcentral.
GAAGAAGUGAAUUAAGGGCAUUUGGUGGAUGCCUUGGCAUGCACAGGCGAAGAAGGACGUGAUACGCUGCGAAAAGCCGUGGGGAGCUGCGAAUAAGCUUUGAUCCAUGGAUCUCCGAAUGGGGCAACCCACCUUAAAUGCUUGGAAAAUCCAAACCGUCUUCGACGGCUUGGGUUUCCAAGCAUUGUGAUAAGGUAUCUUACUUUCGAAUACAUAGGGGUAAGAAGCGAACGCAGGGAACUGAAACAUCUAAGUACCUGCAGGAAAGGACAUCAACCGAGACUCCGCAAGUAGUGGCGAGCGAACGCGGACCAGGCCAGUGGCAAUGAUGAAUAAAGCGGAACGAUUUGGAAAAGUCGGCCAUAGAGGGUGAUAGCCCCUUACGCGUAGAACAGUCAUUGUCCUUGAGUAGGGCGGGACACGUGAAAUCCUGUCUGAACAUGGGGAGACCACUCUCCAAGCCUAAGUACUCGUGCAUGACCGAUAGCGAACAAGUACCGUGAGGGAAAGGUGAAAAGCACCCCGACGAGGGGAGUGAAAUAGAACCUGAAACCGGAUGCCUACAAACAGUCGGAGCCCGCAAGGGUGACGGCGUACCUUUUGUAUAAUGGGUCAACGACUUAGUGUAACUAGCAAGCUUAAGCCGGUAGGUGUAGGCGCAGCGAAAGCGAGUCUGAACAGGGCGAUUGAGUUAGUUGCAUUAGACCCGAAACCGAGUGAUCUAGCCAUGAGCAGGCUGAAGGUUGGGUAACACCAACUGGAGGGCCGAACCCGUAUCUGUUGCAAUAGAUUGGGAUGACUUGUGGCUAGGGGUGAAAGGCCAAUCAAACUCGGAAAUAGCUGGUUCUCCGCGAAAUCUAUUUAGGUAGAGCGUCGACCGAAUACCCUCGGGGGUAGAGCACUGGAUGGGCUAUGGGGACUCACCGUCUUACUGAUCCUAACCAAACUCCGAAUACCGAGGAGUACUAGUCGGCAGACACACGGCGGGUGCUAACGUCCGUCGUGAAAAGGGCAACAACCCUGACCUCCAGCUAAGGUCCCCAAGUCAUGGCUAAGUGGGAAAGGAUGUGAGGAUCCCAAAACAACCAGGAUGUUGGCUUAGAAGCAGCCAUCAUUUAAAGAAAGCGUAACAGCUCACUGGUCUAAAUAAGGGUCUUUGCGCCGAAAAUGUAACGGGGCUAAAGCCAUGCACCGAAGCUGAGGAUAUGCCGUAAGGCAUGUGGUAGCGGAGCGUUCCGUAAGUCUGUGAAGGCGGACCCGUGAGGGCUGCUGGAGAUAUCGGAAGUGCGAAUGUUGACAUGAGUAACGAUAAAGGGAGUGAGAGACUCCCUCGCCGAAAGACCAAGGGUUCCUGCUUAAAGUUAAUCUGAGCAGGGUUAGCCGGCCCCUAAGACGAGGCGGACACGCGUAGUCGAUGGGAACCACGUUAAUAUUCGUGGGCCUGGUGGUAGUGACGGAUCUCGUGUGUUGUACAUUCUUAUUGGAUUGAAUGUGCGGCGAAGAGGUUCCAGGAAAUAGCUCCACCGUAUAGACCGUACCCGAAACCGACACAGGUGGUCAGGUAGAGUAUACCAAGGCGCUUGAGAGAACUAUGUUGAAGGAACUCGGCAAAUUGCACGCGUAACUUCGGAAGAAGCGUGACCCCAUUUUAGGCAACUAUGAUGGGGUGGCACAGACCAGGGGGUAGCGACUGUUUAUCAAAAACACAGGGCUCUGCGAAGUAGCAAUACGACGUAUAGGGUCUGACGCCUGCCCGGUGCUGGAAGGUUAAAGGGAGGGGUGCAAGCUCUGAACUGAAGCCCCAGUAAACGGCGGCCGUAACUAUAACGGUCCUAAGGUAGCGAAAUUCCUUGUCGGGUAAGUUCCGACCUGCACGAAUGGCGUAACGACUUCCCCGCUGUCUCCAACAUAGACUCAGUGAAAUUGAAUUCCCCGUGAAGAUGCGGGGUUCCUGCGGUCAGACGGAAAGACCCCGUGCACCUUUACUAUAGCUUUACACUGGCAUUCGCCAAGGCAUGUGUAGGAUAGGUGGUAGGCUUUGAAGCAGGGACGCCAGUCUUUGUGGAGCCAUCCUUGAAAUACCACCCUUAUCUUCGUGGAUGUCUAACCGCGGUCCGUUAUCCGGAUCCGGGACAGUGUAUGGUGGGUAGUUUGACUGGGGCGGUCGCCUCCGAAAGAGUAACGGAGGCGCGCGAUGG